Molecule: transfer RNA, 72 nt
Filed under: Candidatus Roizmanbacteria bacterium
Lineage: Bacteria; Candidatus Roizmaniibacteriota
Description: tRNA-Ala
Rfam family: tRNA
About the family: Transfer RNA (tRNA) molecules are approximately 80 nucleotides in length.
Source: RNAcentral
GGGCCCGUAGCUCAGCGGUAGAGCAUUCGCUUUGCAUGCGAAGGGUCAGGAGUUCAAAUCUCCUCGGGUCCA